GAAAGCGUGGGUAGCAANCAGGAUUAGAUACCCUGGUAGUCCACGCCCUAAACGAUGUCGAUUAGCUGUUGGGCAACUUGAUUGCUUAGUAGCGUAGCUAACGCGUGAAAUCGACCGCCUGGGGUGUACGGUCGCAAGAUUAAAACUCAAAGGAAUUGACGGGGACCCGCACAAGCGGUGGAUGAUGUGGAUUAAUUCGAUGCAACGCGAAGAACCUUACCUGGUCUUGACAUGUACGGAAGAACUCAGAGACGAGUUUGUGCCUUCGGGAGCCGUAACACAGGUGCUGCAUGGCUGUCGUCAGCUCGUGUCGUGAGAUGUUGGGUUAAGUCCCGCAACGAGCGCAACCCUUGUCAUUAGUUGCCAUCAUUUAGUUGGGCACUCUAAUGAGACUGCCGGUGACAAACCGGAGGAAGGUGGGGAUGACGUCAAGUCCUCAUGGCCCUUAUGACCAGGGCUUCACACGUCAUACAAUGGUCGGUACAGAGGGUAGCCAAGCCGCGAGGUGGAGCCAAUCCCAGAAAACCGAUCGUAGUCCGGAUUGCACUCUGCAACUCGAGUGCAUGAAGUCGGAAUCGCUAGUAAUCGCAGGUCAGCAUACUGCGGUGAAUACGUUCCCGGGUCUUGUACACACCGCCCGUCACACCAUGGGAGUGGGGGAUACCAGAAGU
This 671-nucleotide ribosomal RNA is filed under the name uncultured bacterium. Its description in RNAcentral is "bacterial SSU rRNA". It matches the Rfam family "Bacterial small subunit ribosomal RNA", at positions 755 to 1427 of the family's 1533-position model. The record is from RNAcentral.